GACGGAGGGGGCUAGCGUUGUUCGGAAUGACUGGGCGUAAAGGGCGCGUAGGCGGUUUUUUAAGUGAGGCGUGAAAGCCCUGGGCUUAACCCAGGAGGUGCGUUUCAUACUGGAAGACUUGAGUACGAGAGAGGAAAGUGGAAUUUCUAGUGUAGAGGUGAAAUUCGUAGAUAUUAGAAAGAACACCAGUGGCGAAGGCGGCUUUCUGGCUCGUAACUGACGCUGAGGCGCGAAAGCGUGGGGAGCAAACAGG
RNAcentral lists this ribosomal RNA (253 nucleotides) under uncultured bacterium. RNAcentral describes it as "partial 16S ribosomal RNA". It matches the Rfam family "Bacterial small subunit ribosomal RNA", at positions 524 to 776 of the family's 1533-position model. The record is from RNAcentral.